This 253-nucleotide ribosomal RNA is filed under the name uncultured bacterium. RNAcentral's name for it is "partial 16S ribosomal RNA". It matches the Rfam family "Bacterial small subunit ribosomal RNA", at positions 524 to 776 of the family's 1533-position model. The record is from RNAcentral.
UACAGAGACCUCAAGCGUUAUCCGGAAUCAUUGGGCGUAAAGAGCUCGUAGGCGGUCUGUUGCGUCGGCUGUGAAAACCCGGGGCUCAACCCCGGGCCUGCAGCCGAUACGGGCAGACUAGAGUUCGGCAGGGGAGACUGGAAUUCCUGGUGUAGCGGUGAAAUGCGCAGAUAUCAGGAGGAACACCGGUGGCGAAGGCGGGUCUCUGGGCCGAUACUGACGCUGAGGAGCGAAAGCGUGGGGAGCGAACAGG